Molecule: long non-coding RNA, 745 nt
Organism: Chiroxiphia lanceolata (lance-tailed manakin)
Lineage: Eukaryota; Metazoa; Chordata; Aves; Passeriformes; Pipridae
Exons: 3
Source: RefSeq, a predicted model, not a curated record
GCCCGCCAGCCCCGCUGGCCGCCGCGCACGGAAAUAGCUGUGCCCGGCGAACCACCGCUCCGCAACCGCGCACGGGUUAUUUUUGAACGGCCCCAGCAAGAUAAAACUUGAAUCGGGGGGAGAGUGGCUGAUUUACGGCCGCUUUAAGGGCAGUGUGCUUGGCUGCGGAUGAGCGAAAAGACUUUUCUGCAUGGGCAGGAACAUUUCCCGUGACGGCGCUGCCGGCAGAGAGGGGAUCGGGGAUCUGGCAUCCCACCCGCGCUGCCCUGGCCAUCCCCUGAGUUUGGCAGCGCAUUUUGCCCCACAGCCCACACUCCAUCCCACAGCAGCUGGCCCUGCGAGGCACACAUGGCUCGCCAGCCCUCUUACAAAAGGAGGGGCAGAAAUAUUAAGACUGGUCUGAAGAAUGUAUGGACAGAAAUGUCUAUCAGUAAAAGCAACAGGAAGGGCAAUAGAGCGAAGUUAAGAAAAAACCUGAAACAUUUUGAUAACCAUGGACACAUUGACAACAAACAAACAGCAGCAAGAUACAAAGAUGACUACCAAUGGCAACUGGUGGUGGCAAGCACUGCUUGAGGAGCAUUUCAGAAUCUUUUACACCCUACCAGAAGAGCAAAAGUCUGCCCAGAAGUACAAAGAUUAAAAUGAACUGGGAACUAAUGAAAAACAGUAAUUCAGGUAACUUGGUUUUGGUUUCACUCUAGAUUACUACAAGUCCUGUAAUAAAUCACAAGACAGGUGUAAA